UACGAAGGUGGAUAGCGUUGUUCGGAAUUACUGGGCGUAAAGCGCACGUAGGCGGGUCGUUAAGUCAGGGGUGAAAUCCCGGAGCUCAACUCCGGAACUGCCUUUGAUACUGGCGAUCUCGAGAUCGGAAGAGGUGAGUGGAAUUCCCAGUGUAGAGGUGAAAUUCGUAGAUAUUGGGAAGAACACAAGUGGCGAAGGCGGCUCACUGGUCCGAUACUGACGCUGAGGUGCGAAAGCGUGGGGAGCAAACAGG
RNAcentral lists this ribosomal RNA (253 nucleotides) under uncultured bacterium. RNAcentral's name for it is "partial 16S ribosomal RNA". It matches the Rfam family "Bacterial small subunit ribosomal RNA", at positions 524 to 776 of the family's 1533-position model. The record is from RNAcentral.